This 1464-nucleotide ribosomal RNA is filed under the name metagenome. RNAcentral's name for it is "bacterial SSU rRNA". It matches the Rfam family "Bacterial small subunit ribosomal RNA". The record is from RNAcentral.
AGAGUUUGAUCCUGGCUCAGGACGAACGCUGGCGGCACGCCUAACACAUGCAAGUCGAACGGAGAUGAUUUGAGUUUACUUAGAUCAUCUUAGUGGCGGACGGGGGAGUAACACGUGAGCAACCUGCCUUUGAGAGAGGGAUAGCUUCUGGAAACGGAUGGUAAUACCUCAUAACAUACAGAUACCGCAUGGUGACUGUAUCAAAGAUUUAUCACUCAAAGAUGGGCUCGCGUCUGAUUAGAUAGUUGGUGAGGUAACGGCUCACCAAGUCGACGAUCAGUAGCCGGACUGAGAGGUUGAACGGCCACAUUGGGACUGAGACACGGCCCAGACUCCUACGGGAGGCAGCAGUGGGGAAUAUUGCACAAUGGGGGAAACCCUGAUGCAGCGAUGCCGCGUGGAGGAAGAAGGUUUUCGGAUUGUAAACUCCUGUCUUAAAGGACGAUAAUGACGGUACUUUAGGAGGAAGCUCCGGCUAACUACGUGCCAGCAGCCGCGGUAAUACGUAGGGAGCGAGCGUUGUCCGGAAUUACUGGGUGUAAAGGGAGCGUAGGCGGGACGGCAAGUCAGAUGUGAAAUACAUGGGCUCAACCCAUGGGCUGCAUUUGAAACUGCUGUUCUUGAGUGAAGUAGAGGUAAGCGGAAUUCCUGGUGUAGCGGUGAAAUGCGUAGAUAUCAGGAGGAACACCGGUGGCGAAGGCGGCUUACUGGGCUUUUACUGACGCUGAGGCUCGAAAGCGUGGGGAGCAAACAGGAUUAGAUACCCUGGUAGUCCGCACGGUAAACGAUGGAUGCCCGCUGUUGGUCUGAACAGGUCAGCGGCCAAGCGAAAGCAUUAAGCAUCCCACCUGGGGAGUACGCCGGCAACGGUGAAACUCAAAGGAAUUGACGGGGGCCCGCACAAGCGGAGGAACAUGUGGUUUAAUUCGAUGAUACGCGAGGAACCUUACCCGGGCUUGAAUUGCAGAGGAAGGAUUUGGAGACAAUGACGCCCUUCGGGGUCUCUGUGAAGGUGCUGCAUGGUUGUCGUCAGCUCGUGCCGUGAGGCGUCGGCUUAAGUGCCAUAACGAGCGCAACCCCUCUCCUUAGUUGCCAUCAGGUUAAGCUGGGCACUCUGGGGACACUGCCACCGUAAGGUGUGAGGAAGGUGGGGAUGACGUCAAAUCAGCACGGCCCUUACGUCCGGGGCUACACACGUGUUACAAUGGCAGGUACAGAGAGACGGUUGUACGUAAGUACGAUCAAAUCCUUAAAGCCUGUCUCAGUUCGGACUGGGGUCUGCAACCCGACCCCACGAAGCUGGAUUCGCUAGUAAUCGCGCAUCAGCCAUGGCGCGGUGAAUACGUUCCCGGGCCUUGUACACACCGCCCGUCAAGCCAUGAAAGCCGGGGGCGCCUAAAGUCCGUGACCGUAAGGAGCGGCCUAGGGCGAAACUGGUAAUUGGGGCUAAGUCGUAACAAGGUA